UACGUAGGGUGCAAGCGUUGUCCGGAAUUACUGGGCGUAAAGGGCGCGUAGGCGGCUCUGAUCGUCGGAUGUGAAAGGCCUGGGCUCAACCUGGGAAUGGCAUCCGAUACGGCGGGGCUGGAGUGUGGGAGAGGUUGGUGGAAUUCCCAGUGUAGAGGUGAAAUUCGUAGAUAUUGGGAAGAACACCGGUGGUGAAGGCGGCCAACUGGACCACAACUGACGCUGAGGCGCGAAAGCGUGGGGAGCAAACAGG
This 253-nucleotide ribosomal RNA is filed under the name uncultured bacterium. RNAcentral describes it as "partial 16S ribosomal RNA". It matches the Rfam family "Bacterial small subunit ribosomal RNA", at positions 524 to 776 of the family's 1533-position model. The record is from RNAcentral.